Molecule: ribosomal RNA, 18 nt
Filed under: Carpophilus nepos
Lineage: Eukaryota; Metazoa; Arthropoda; Insecta; Coleoptera; Nitidulidae
Description: partial 5.8S ribosomal RNA
Source: RNAcentral
UCCUGGCUGAGGGUCGCG